GAUAAACGCUGGCGGCAUGCAUGAGACAUGCAAGUCGAACGAAGGAUCGGGCUUGCUCGAUCCUUAGUGGCGGACGGCUGAGUAACGCGUAGGUGACCUACCCCGAAGUGGGGAAUAACUGCCCGAAAGGGCGGCUAAUACCGCAUGUGGUCGCACGUUCAUUCGUGCGAGUAAAGCCGCAAGGCGCUUCGGGAGGGGCCUGCGUCCGAUUAGCUCGUUGGUGGGGUAAUGGCUUACCAAGGCGACGAUCGGUAGGUGGUCUGAGAGGACGAUCACCCAGACUGGGACUGAGACACGGCCCAGACUCCUACGGGAGGCAGCAGUCGGGAAUUUUGCUCAAUGGGGGAAACCCUGAAGCAGCAACGCCGCGUGAGGGAUGAAGGCCUUCGGGUUGUAAACCUCUUUUGUCAGGGACGAUGAUGACGGUACCUGGCGAAUAAGCCACGGCUAACUACGUG
Molecule: ribosomal RNA, 458 nt
Filed under: uncultured bacterium
Lineage: Bacteria
Description: partial 16S ribosomal RNA
Rfam family: Bacterial small subunit ribosomal RNA
Source: RNAcentral